Talpa occidentalis (Iberian mole) is the source of this 909-nucleotide long non-coding RNA. RefSeq lists it as uncharacterized. The record is from RefSeq and is a predicted model, not a curated record. Lineage: Eukaryota; Metazoa; Chordata; Mammalia; Eulipotyphla; Talpidae. The transcript has 3 exons.
UGGAAUCUUCAGAAAUCAAAAUGAGAUAUCUUUUCCUUAACAGUUGUUGUGAUCAUGUUUCCGUGAAGCUGUUCACAUAGGAAAUGGUAACCUUUACCAAUUCCAUGAACCAUGAAAUUUUUCUGUCUUUGUAUAAAGUUGCUCUUUAUCCCUGGAUGUAUUAUCAUAUUCAGAUAAUUAACAUGAUGUUACAAACCACAGCAAUAAUUAUGGAUAUUUUGCAGGUAUCCCCAAAAGAAAUGUUCUUAUAUUUGACAAUGGUCUUGUGCUUAUUCAACAAAUACUCAGGUAAAAUCAGUACUGUCAUAAUGAAGGAUGUGUCUGAGAGCUUCUUAAAAGAUCAACUUCUGUCAUUUAGAUGUAUAUCAUGUGAUUUUCAGCAUCCCUCCUGUAAUCAAUAUGAACUUAGUGGUUGUUAAAGAAAACAUUUCUGGUAUCCCAGCUAAGGGAUGCUCUGCACCUUCAUCACAUCUGACCAUCUGAUCUUCAGAUACAAAGGUAUUCCUUCAGAGAGAAUGGAAUCUCUUCAGAGUUUUAACCUUAGAUUUCUACAGUUACACAGGUUCUUUGAAGACUUCUUGGCAACCCUAUCAAAGGUACUCAUGAAAUACAUAGCAGGUGUUCAAGUAAGUAUUGAUGUGAUCCAACCCUCACCCCUGAUAACAUGACCUUCAUACAUUUAGUAAGUGUUGACGUUAGAACUAACACCUUUAUUGGCACGUUUCUUUGCAAGUAACCUGUUCAAAUCCUUUGUGGUACACCAGUAUGAGAUGAUGUACAUUAACUCAUGAAGAUAUCCUAUAUCUCCCUAACUGUUGUUUUCAAUUAUCACAUUUACCUUUCCUAACACAGUUAACUUGUUCUUGAUAAUACUAACAAGCAUGAGUUUUUGCUGUGGCAUUGUAUAGA